GACGAACGCUGGCGGCGUGCUUAACACAUGCAAGUCGAACGGAAAGGCCCUGCUUUUGUGGGGUGCUCGAGUGGCGAACGGGUGAGUAACACGUGAGUAACCUGCCCUUGACUUUGGGAUAACUUCAGGAAACUGGGGCUAAUACCGGAUAGGAGCUCCUGCUGCAUGGUGGGGGUUGGAAAGUUUCGGCGGUUGGGGAUGGACUCGCGGCUUAUCAGCUUGUUGGUGGGGUAGUGGCUUACCAAGGCUUUGACGGGUAGCCGGCCUGAGAGGGUGACCGGCCACAUUGGGACUGAGAUACGGCCCAGACUCCUACGGGAGGCAGCAGUGGGGAAUAUUGCACAAUGGGCGGAAGCCUGAUGCAGCAACGCCGCGUGCGGGAUGACGGCCUUCGGGUUGUAAACCGCUUUCGCCUGUGACGAAGCGUGAGUGACGGUAAUGGGUAAAGAAGCACCGGAUAACUACGUGCCAGCAGCCGCGGUGAUACGUAGGGUGCGAGCGUUGUCCGGAUUUAUUGGGCAUAAAGGGCUCGUAGGUGGUUGAUCGCGUCGGAAGGGUAAUCUUGGGGCUUAACCCUGAGCGUGCUUUCGAUACGGGUUGACUUGAGGAAGGUAGGGGAGAAUGGAAUUCCUGGUGGAGCGGUGGAAUGCGCAGAUAUCAGGAGGAACACCAGUGGCGAAGGCGGUUCUCUGGGCCUUUCCUGACGCUGAGGAGCGAAAGCGUGGGGAGCGAACAGGCUUAGAUACCCUGGUAGUCCACGCUGUAAACGGUGGGUACUAGGUGUGGGGUCCAUUCCACGGGUUCCGUGCCGUAGCUAACGCUUUAAGUACCCCGCCUGGGGAGUACGGCCGCAAGGCUAAAACUCAAAGGAAUUGACGGGGCCCCGCACAAGCGGCGGAGCAUGCGGAUUAAUUCGAUGCAACGCGUAGAACCUUACCUGGGUUUGACAUGGAUCGGGAGUGCUCAGAGAUGGGUGUGCCUCUUUUGGGGUCGGUUCACAGGUGGUGCAUGGCUGUCGUCAGCUCGUGUCGUGAGAUGUUGGGUUAAGUCCCGCAACGAGCGCAACCCUUGUUCACUGUUGCCAGCACGUUAUGGUGGGGACUCAGUGGAGACCGCCGGGGUCAACUCGGAGGAAGGUGGGGAUGACGUCAAGUCAUCAUGCCCCUUAUGUCCAGGGCUUCACGCAUGCUACAAUGGCUGGUACAGAGAGUGGCGAGCCUGUGAGGGUGAGCGAAUCUCGGAAAGCCGGUCUCAGUUCGGAUUGGGGUCUGCAACUCGACCUCAUGAAGUCGGAGUCGCUAGUAAUCGCAGAUCAGCAACGCUGCGGUGAAUACGUUCCCGGGGCU
This 1346-nucleotide ribosomal RNA is filed under the name uncultured bacterium. Its description in RNAcentral is "partial 16S ribosomal RNA". It matches the Rfam family "Bacterial small subunit ribosomal RNA", at positions 28 to 1381 of the family's 1533-position model. The record is from RNAcentral.